RNAcentral lists this ribosomal RNA (718 nucleotides) under Trypanosoma sp. RNAcentral describes it as "SSU rRNA". It matches the Rfam family "Eukaryotic small subunit ribosomal RNA", at positions 7 to 644 of the family's 1831-position model. The record is from RNAcentral. Lineage: Eukaryota; Euglenozoa; Kinetoplastea; Trypanosomatida; Trypanosomatidae.
GUUGAUUCUGCCAGUAGUCAUAUGCUUGUUUCAAGGACUUAGCCAUGCAUGCCUCAGAAUCACUGCAUCAGCAGGAAUCUGCGCAUGGCUCAUUACAUCAGACGUAAUCUGCCGCAAAAGCUUUGCGGACUCCGCAAGAUUGGAUACCUUGGCGAAAAGCCAAGCUAAUACAUGAACCAAAGGGACGUACUCUGUUAUUCGCGGCUUUGUAAAAGGAGGUUCACCCCUUCGUUUGCACUGUCGUUAUGGGUCGUCCAGCGAAUGAACGAAAUUAAAACCAAUGCCCCUUUACCGGGCAGUAACACUCAGACGUGUUGAAUCAGUUCAUUCCGUGCGAAAGCUGGGCUUUAGCCUGGCGUCUUCUGACGAACAACUGCCCUAUCAGCUGGUGAUGGCCGUGUAGUGGACUGCCAUGGCGUUGACGGGAGCGGGGGAUUAGGGUUCGAUUCCGGAGAGGGAGCCUGAGAAAUAGCUACCACUUCUACGGAGGGCAGCAGGCGCGCAAAUUGCCCAAUGUCAAAAAAAAACGAUGAGGCAGCGAAAAGAAAUAGAGCCGGCAGUGCCACUGGCAUUGCCGUUUUCAAUGGGGGAUAUUUAAACCCAUCCAAAAUCGAGUAUCAAUUGGAGGACAAGUCUGGUGCCAGCACCCGCGGUAAUUCCAGCUCCAAAAGCGUAUAUUAAUGCUGUUGCUGUUAAAGGGUUCGUAGUUGAAUUGGGG